CAGCACCUCAAGUGGUCAGGAUGAUUAUUGGGCCUAAAGCAUCCGUAGCCGGCUCUGUAAGUUUUCGGUUAAAUCUGUACGCUCAACGUACAGGCUGCCGGGAAUACUGCAGAGCUAGGGAGUGGGAGAGGUAGACGGUACUCGGUAGGAAGGGGUAAAAUCCUUUGAUCUAUUGAUGACCACCUGUGGCGAAGGCGGUCUACCAGAACACGUCCGACGGUGAGGGAUGAAAGCUGGGAGAGCAAACCGGAUUAGAUACCCGAGUAGUCC
RNAcentral lists this ribosomal RNA (270 nucleotides) under uncultured archaeon. RNAcentral's name for it is "partial 16S ribosomal RNA". It matches the Rfam family "Archaeal small subunit ribosomal RNA", at positions 477 to 747 of the family's 1478-position model. The record is from RNAcentral.